AUGGCGUCUAGCGAGGGAAAUUAUCACCGUAGAGGUCCUUACUUUAAUGGCACUAAUUUUGCUAGUUGGAAGCAUAAGAUGAAAAUGCAUAUUAUUGGACAUAACCCCGCCGUUUGGGCUAUUGUGUGUAUUGGCUUGCAAGGUGAAUUCUUUGAUGGGAAAGAACCGAACCGUGAAGCUACCGCGGAAGAGUUGAAGAUGCUGCAAUACAACACUCAAGCUUGUGAUAUCCUCUUCAACGGAUUGUGCCCUGAAGAAUUCAACAAAAUCAGCCGUCUUGAGAAUGCAAAGGAAAUUUGGGAUACUUUGAUUGAUAUGCACGAAGGUACCGACUCCAUCAAGGAAUCCAAAUUGGAUGUGCUUUAA
This 366-nucleotide ribosomal RNA is filed under the name Triticum aestivum (bread wheat). RNAcentral's name for it is "partial small subunit ribosomal RNA". The record is from RNAcentral. Lineage: Eukaryota; Viridiplantae; Streptophyta; Magnoliopsida; Poales; Poaceae.